RNAcentral lists this ribosomal RNA (536 nucleotides) under uncultured bacterium. RNAcentral describes it as "partial 16S ribosomal RNA". It matches the Rfam family "Bacterial small subunit ribosomal RNA", at positions 355 to 873 of the family's 1533-position model. The record is from RNAcentral.
UGGGGAAUAUUGCACAAUGGGCGCAAGCCUGAUGCAGCCAUGCCGCGUGUGUGAAGAAGGCCUUCGGGUUGUAAAGCACUUUCAGCGAGGAGGAAGGUGGUGAGCUUAAUACGCUCAUCAAUUGACGUUACUCGCAGAAGAAGCACCGGCUAACUCCGUGCCAGCAGCCGCGGUAAUACGGAGGGUGCAAGCGUUAAUCGGAAUUACUGGGCGUAAAGCGCACGCAGGCGGUUUGUUAAGUCAGAUGUGAAAUCCCCGGGCUCAACCUGGGAACUGCAUUUGAAACUGGCAAGCUAGAGUCUCGUAGAGGGGGGUAGAAUUCCAGGUGUAGCGGUGAAAUGCGUAGAGAUCUGGAGGAAUACCGGUGGCGAAGGCGGCCCCCUGGACGAAGACUGCACGCAUGCGAAGGCUGCGAAAGUCGGGUGGGCAGCAAAACAGGAUUAGAUACCCUGGUAGUCCACGCUGUAAACGAUGUCGAUUUGGAGGUUGUGCCCUUGAGGCGUGGCUUCCGGAGCUAACGCGUUAAAUCGACCGCC